UAACACGUGAGCAACCUGCCUUUCAGUGGGGGACAACAUUUGGAAACGAAUGCUAAUACCGCAUAAGACCACAGUGUCGCAUGGCACAGGGGUCAAAGGAUUUAUCCGCUGAAAGAUGGGCUCGCGUCCGAUUAGCUAGAUGGUGAGGUAACGGCCCACCAUGGCGACGAUCGGUAGCCGGACUGAGAGGUUGAACGGCCACAUUGGGACUGAGACACGGCCCAGACUCCUACGGGAGGCAGCAGUGGGGAAUAUUGCACAAUGGGGGAAACCCUGAUGCAGCGACGCCGCGUGGAGGAAGAAGGUCUUCGGAUUGUAAACUCCUGUCCCAGGGGACGAUAAUGACGGUACCCUGGGAGGAAGCACCGGCUAACUACGUGCCAGCAGCCGCGGUAAAACGUAGGGUGCAAGCGUUGUCCGGAAUUACUGGGUGUAAAGGGAGCGCAGGCGGAUUGGCAAGUUGGGAGUGAAAUCUAUGGGCUCAACCCAUAAAUUGCUUUCAAAACUGUCAGUCUUGAGUGGUGUAGAGGUAGGCGGAAUUCCCGGUGUAGCGGUGGAAUGCGUAGAUAUCGGGAGGAACACCAGUGGCGAGGGCGGCCUACUGGGCACUAACUGACGCUGAGGCUCGAAAGCAUGGGUAGCAAACAGGAUUAGAUACCCUGGUAGUCCAUGCCGUAAACGAUGAUUACUAGGUGU
RNAcentral lists this ribosomal RNA (696 nucleotides) under uncultured bacterium. RNAcentral's name for it is "bacterial SSU rRNA". It matches the Rfam family "Bacterial small subunit ribosomal RNA", at positions 111 to 823 of the family's 1533-position model. The record is from RNAcentral.